Molecule: ribosomal RNA, 301 nt
Filed under: uncultured bacterium
Lineage: Bacteria
Description: partial 16S ribosomal RNA
Rfam family: Bacterial small subunit ribosomal RNA
Source: RNAcentral
CAGCAGCCGCGGUAAUACAGAGGAUGCAAGCGUUAUCCGGAAUGAUUGGGCGUAAAGCGUCUGUAGGUGGCUUUUCAAGUCCGCCGUCAAAUCCCAGGGCUCAACCCUGGACAGGCGGUGGAAACUACCAAGAUGGAGUACGGUAGGGGCAGAGGGAAUUUCCGGUGGAGCGGUGAAAUGCGUUGAGAUCGGAAAGAACACCAACGGUGAAAGCACUCUGCUGAGCCGACACUGACACUGAGAGACGAAAGUUAGGGGAGAAAAUGGGAUUAGAGACCCCCGUAGUCCCUGUCUCUUAUAC